This 465-nucleotide ribosomal RNA is filed under the name Vreelandella stevensii. RNAcentral's name for it is "partial 16S ribosomal RNA". It matches the Rfam family "Bacterial small subunit ribosomal RNA", at positions 338 to 795 of the family's 1533-position model. Lineage: Bacteria; Pseudomonadati; Pseudomonadota; Gammaproteobacteria; Oceanospirillales; Halomonadaceae. The record is from RNAcentral.
CCUACGGUGGGCAGCAGUGGGGAAUAUUGGACAAUGGGCGAAAGCCUGAUCCAGCCAUGCCGCGUGUGUGAAGAAGGCCUUCGGGUUGUAAAGCACUUUCAGUGGGGAAGAAAGCCUUGGGGCUAAUACCCUCGAGGAAGGACAUCACCUACAGAAGAAGCACCGGCUAACUCCGUGCCAGCAGCCGCGGUAAUACGGAGGGUGCGAGCGUUAUUCGGAAUUACUGGGCGUAAAGCGCGCGUAGGCGGUCUGAUAAGCCGGUUGUGAAAGCCCCGGGCUCAACCUGGGAACGGCAUCCGGAACUGUCAGGCUUGAGUGCAGGAGAGGAAGGUAGAAUUCCCGGUGUAGCGGUGAAAUGCGUAGAGAUCGGGAGGAAUACCAGUGGCGAAGGCGGCCUUCUGGACUGACACUGACGCUGAGGUGCGAAAGCGUGGGUAGCAAACAGGAUUAGAUACCCGGGUAGUC